UCCGGCCUCAAGCAGCGAGUGAAAAGGGAAUCCGGUGUGAACCCGGAGCUGACGCGCAGCGGUAUGGGGAAGUCACGGCAAUAGCGUGUUGCACGCAGACACUGCCCGUUAUCACGGGUGGGAAGUCAUUGCCCGGUGCCGGUUGCCUGCAACCUGCACAUCCCGAGCCCGAAGACCUGCCGGUGAUA
Molecule: non-coding RNA, 188 nt
Filed under: Gibbsiella quercinecans
Lineage: Bacteria; Pseudomonadati; Pseudomonadota; Gammaproteobacteria; Enterobacterales; Yersiniaceae
Source: RNAcentral